GGCCGCUUUGAAAGCGACCGGUUGAAAGAGCAGCUGACUCUUAAUCAGCGGGUCGUAGGUGCAAUGACCUACCGCGCGUUCAGAUCGCGCACGGCGCCG
This 99-nucleotide transfer RNA is filed under the name Rhizobium leguminosarum bv. viciae. RNAcentral describes it as "tRNA-Lys". The record is from RNAcentral. RNAcentral also lists the same sequence under 2 other names. Lineage: Bacteria; Pseudomonadati; Pseudomonadota; Alphaproteobacteria; Hyphomicrobiales; Rhizobiaceae.